This 466-nucleotide ribosomal RNA is filed under the name uncultured bacterium. RNAcentral describes it as "partial 16S ribosomal RNA". It matches the Rfam family "Bacterial small subunit ribosomal RNA", at positions 28 to 507 of the family's 1533-position model. The record is from RNAcentral.
GAUGAACGCUGGCGGCGUGCUUAACACAUGCAAGUCGAACGGAAAGGCCCAAGCUUGCUUGGGUACUCGAGUGGCGAACGGGUGAGUAACACGUGGGUGAUCUGCCCUGCACUUCGGGAUAAGCCUGGGAAACUGGGUCUAAUACCGGAUAGGACCACAUUUUGGAUGGUGUGGUGGAAAGUUUUUCGGUGUGGGAUGAGCUCGCGGCCUAUCAGCUUGUUGGUGGGGUAAUGGCCUACCAAGGCGUCGACGGGUAGCCGGCCGGAGAGGGUGGACGGCCACAUUGGGACUGAGAUACGGCCCAGACUCCUACGGGAGGCAGCAGUGGGGAAUAUUGCACAAUGGGCGCAAGCCUGAUGCAGCGACGCCGCGUGGGGGAUGACGGCCUUCGGGUUGUAAACUCCUUUCGCUAGGGACGAAACGUUAUGUGACGGUACCUGGAGAAGAAGCACCGGCUAACUACGUG